Molecule: long non-coding RNA, 457 nt
Organism: Hemiscyllium ocellatum (epaulette shark)
Lineage: Eukaryota; Metazoa; Chordata; Chondrichthyes; Orectolobiformes; Hemiscylliidae
Exons: 3
Source: RefSeq, a predicted model, not a curated record
ACCGCAAAGCAUGCAAAAGGGCGGGGGCAAAUAAAAUGAGAUAUCUUCUCAGCCAGGAUUUAAGCGAUACAGCUCGGCGUUUUCUAAUCUAAAGAACAAACAAGAAAUACUUGAAGCGAACGGCCAUCUUGGAAACCCUGAGAAAGGAAAAUAAUCCCUCGCACACGACUGCCUUCUUCCGGGGUUUGAUCCGAAGUUGCAAAUCUACGGCAGGAAGACUGGGAUUAAAAAUGGUCUUCCCAACCGCCAGCCUUUCGGAAUCAGUCAACCACCCAGGGGCACUGACAAAGCUACUUUAAAUGGAGUUGAGAGCUGCAUGAACUAAAAGCUUGAAUUGAAGGAAGAAUUCCAAAUUGCUCUUCAUUUCUUCAGCAUGCAAUACUGUAUUCAGGAUGAGUGUAUGCCAACUCAUAGUAUAUUUACAUUCAUGUAUUGUGAACUACAGAUACAGAUUUCU